This 409-nucleotide ribosomal RNA is filed under the name uncultured bacterium. RNAcentral describes it as "bacterial SSU rRNA". It matches the Rfam family "Bacterial small subunit ribosomal RNA", at positions 94 to 518 of the family's 1533-position model. The record is from RNAcentral.
AGUGGCGGACGGGUGAGUAACGGCGUGGGUAACCUGCCUCAGUACAGGGGGAUAACAGUUAGAAAUGACUGCUAACACCGCAUAAUAUAGUGAAACCGCAUGAUUUUGCUAUCAAAUAUUUAUAGGUAUGAGAUGGGCCCGCGUCUGAUUAGCUAGUUGGUGGGGUAAAAGCCUACCAGGGCGACGAUCAGUAGCCGGCUUGAGAGAGUGACCGGCCACAUUGGGACUGAGACACGGCCCAAACUCCUACGGGAGGCAGCAGUGGGGAAUAUUGGACAAUGGGGGAAACCCUGAUCCAGCGACGCCCGCGUGAGUGAAGAAGUAUUUCGGUAUGUAAAGCUCUAUCAGCAGGGAAGAUAAUGACAGUACCUGACUAAGAAGCCCCGGCUAACUACGUGCCAGCAGCUGC